GAUGAACGCUGGCGGCGUGCCUAAUACAUGCCAGUCGAGCGAACGGACGAGAAGCUUGCUUCUCUGAUGUUAGCGGCGGACGGGUGAGUAACACGUGGAUAACCUACCUAUAAGACUGGGAUAACUUCGGGAAACCGGAGCUAAUACCGGAUAAUAUUUUGAACCGCAUGGUUCAAAAGUGAAAGACGGUCUUGCUGUCACUUAUAGAUGGAUCCGCGCUGCAUUAGCUAGUUGGUAAGGUACCGGCUUACCAAGGCAACGAUGCAUAGCCGACCUGAGAGGGUGAUCGGCCACACUGGAACUGAGACACGGUCCAGACUCCUACGGGAGGCAGCAGUAGGGAAUCUUCCGCAAUGGGCGAAAGCCUGACGGAGCAACGCCGCGUGAGUGAUGAAGGUCUUCGGAUCGUAAAACUCUGUUAUUAGGGAAGAACAUAUGUGUAAGUAACUGUGCACAUCUUGACGGUACCUAAUCAGAAAGCCACGGCUAACUACGUG
Molecule: ribosomal RNA, 497 nt
Filed under: uncultured bacterium
Lineage: Bacteria
Description: partial 16S ribosomal RNA
Rfam family: Bacterial small subunit ribosomal RNA
Source: RNAcentral